This 449-nucleotide unclassified non-coding RNA is filed under the name Hevea brasiliensis (rubber tree). The record is from RNAcentral. Lineage: Eukaryota; Viridiplantae; Streptophyta; Magnoliopsida; Malpighiales; Euphorbiaceae.
CUUUUUUUUUUUUUUUCCUCUGUUCAUCCAUCAGAUCUCAGAUAUCAACCCCUCCAUUUACACAAGAAAAUAUACAUAUUUUUUUUUGAGAGAAUUUCUCAUUUCCUUUCGUUAUUUUUUUCAUUCUUUCAACAAGAAGACGAAGGGGACUGAUUCCAAAUGGAUGUGCCUAGCUCAUGGGACGCGUUACGCAAGCAGGCAAGAAAACUUGAAGCUCAGUUGGAUGAGCAGAUGAAUUCAUACCGUAAACUGGUUUCUGCAAAAGCUUCUACAAAAGUUGAUGCUGCUGAGAAUGAUCUUGAAUCUGGGAUAGACCGACUACUAAAGCAACUCCAACAAGUGAAUUCACAGAUGCAAGCUUGGGUGUCAUCUGGAGGAUCAGAAAUGGUUUCUCACACCUUGACUCGCCAUCAAGAAAUUCUUCAAGAUCUUACUCAGGAGUUUCAUCG